UCAAACUUGGUCAUUUAGAGGAAGUAAAAGUCGUAACAAGGUUUCCGUAGGUGAACCUGCGGAAGGAUCAUUAACGAAUAACUAUGGUUGGGUUGUAGCUGGCUCUUCGGAGCACUGUGCACGCUCGCCAUUUUUAUCUAUCCACCUGUGCACCGACUGUAGGUCUGGAUGACUCUCGCCUCACGGCGGAUGCGGGGAUUGGCUUCUUGCCUCUCCUCGAAUAUCCAGGCUCUACGUCUUUUACACACCCCAAUAGUAUGAUAUAGAAUGUAGUCAAUGGGCUUCCAGCCUAUAAAACACUAUACAACUUUCAGCAACGGAUCUCUUGGCUCUCGCAUCGAUGAAGAACGCAGC
RNAcentral lists this unclassified non-coding RNA (354 nucleotides) under uncultured fungus. RNAcentral describes it as "partial contains small subunit ribosomal RNA, internal transcribed spacer 1, and 5.8S ribosomal RNA". The stretch from base 1 to 73 matches the Rfam family "Eukaryotic small subunit ribosomal RNA", at positions 1759 to 1831 of the family's 1831-position model. The record is from RNAcentral. Lineage: Eukaryota; Fungi.